This is a long non-coding RNA of Fukomys damarensis (Damara mole-rat), 1603 nucleotides long. RefSeq lists it as uncharacterized. The record is from RefSeq and is a predicted model, not a curated record. The transcript has 3 exons. NCBI's taxonomy places the organism in Eukaryota, Metazoa, Chordata, Mammalia, Rodentia, Bathyergidae.
CUGCCUCUUUAACAAGUAGAAAUGAUACCCACAUGUAGAAAAUUAAAACUAGACCCCUAUCUCCGAUGUUGUACAAAAAUCACCGCAAAAAGAAUCAAAGACCUUAAUGUAAGACAUGAAACUUUGAAACUACUAGAGAAAAAUGUAAGAGAAACACUUCAAGAUGUAACUAUCCUUUCCCCUCCCCUCCCCUCCUCUCCUCUCCAGUAAGGGAAGAGCAUCAUCAGGCCAGUCCUGAUUGGUCCAACGUCAGCCAAUCAUAACACUUCUAUCCUCGCAGCUGCUGAUUGAUCGAGCGUCCACCAAUCAUAACACUCACAUCUUCACAGCUACUGAUUCGUUUACCUCCCAGGUCUAAGCCAAUUGGAACAUUCCAUGGAGGACCGGGUCCAAAGGUCUCAUGAUUUAGUGGUGUCUGCAGACCUGGACUUCUGUGUCAUGUCCCUCCCCUCCCAACCCAGUCCCAUAUCUUUUCUCAGCCCACCUCCCCAUCACCUGUGGGCACCUGCUGGUCCCAUCUCAUCAGACUUGCCCUCGACUUGAGAAUGAGGAGGGAGCAGGUUCACUGAAUGGAACACCACCUGUCUGCCCCAUGCUUCCCGGGAGGAUACCAGAGCGUAUGCCCUAGGAUGUGCAGAGGCCAGAAUGGAGACACACAGGUCAGGGGUUCAGAGGCCAAGAUGCUGAGCCUGAUGCUGAGCCUGCUGGCGCUAGGGGUGUCCCUCCUGUCCAGCUUGGUCCACAUCAGCCCCUGGGUUCGCUCAUCCACUCCCAGUGGGUGCUGACUGCAGCUCACUGCCUAAGACCAUGAGUGUCCUUGGAGAUAGCAGGUGGAGCAUGGUUUCCUCCAUGGUGCCAAGUGCACUUGGCCUGUUCCAGAUAGAGUUCCUUUCCCUAUGAAUGUCACCGAUCCCACAAAAAUCCGGGUGCAACUGUGAGCAGCACCUCCAUUACCACAUCCAGCUGCUGCCCAUCAGCCGGAUCGUCUCACACUCCCGGUUCUACACCGUCCGAAAUUGCACAGACAUCGCCCUGCUGGAGCUGGAGGACCCUGGGAACAUCUCCAGCCACACCCACCCCAUCUCGCCACCUCCCACCUCAGAGAUUUUCCCCUCCACAACACUGUGCUGAAUGACACGCUGGGGUGAUGUGGACACCAGUGCGUGGCAGGGACGGCGACGUCUUGAGUGGGUAGGAACUAGGUGGCUCCACGACCCCAGCCUUGAUUUUUCUUUAGCAUCAAGAACUGACAAGCUGGCUCAGGGUGGAAACUUGGAGAUCUGAGGAGGGGAGGUGGCCAAGGCACCAGGUGCAGGAGCAGAGCCUUGGAGUCCUCAGGCCUGGGAUACCCUGUGCGUGGAGACCCUGUGCGUGGAUUCUACACGUGUGUGGUCUCAUUUCUCAUCCACCUUGGGGGGUUGGAGGGGGGAGUUCGGGUUUCCCAGCAUACCUCUCCAAAGCAGCAAGGCAGGAAAACAGCAAAUAAAGCUUCCGAAAAGAGAGACCCAGAAGCAGCGUGUACACUCUGGGAGUCUGAGGCAAGACGAUUGCAAUUUCAUCCUAGCCUGGGCAAGGUGGCAAAGUUGUGAAAACCAGUCUGAAA